CCUGGUGGCUUAGUGGUUAAGAGUUUGGCUGCUAACCAAAAGGUCGUCAGUUCAAAUCCACCAGGU
Molecule: transfer RNA, 66 nt
Filed under: Loxodonta africana (African savanna elephant)
Lineage: Eukaryota; Metazoa; Chordata; Mammalia; Proboscidea; Elephantidae
Rfam family: tRNA
About the family: Transfer RNA (tRNA) molecules are approximately 80 nucleotides in length.
Source: Rfam by way of RNAcentral